Molecule: ribosomal RNA, 161 nt
Filed under: Amaranthus hybridus (smooth pigweed)
Lineage: Eukaryota; Viridiplantae; Streptophyta; Magnoliopsida; Caryophyllales; Amaranthaceae
Also listed under: 6 other names
Description: 5.8S ribosomal RNA
Rfam family: 5.8S ribosomal RNA
About the family: 5.8S ribosomal RNA (5.8S rRNA) is a component of the large subunit of the eukaryotic ribosome.
Source: RNAcentral
AACGACUCUCGGCAACGGAUAUCUUGGCUCUCGCAUCGAUGAAGAACGUAGCGAAAUGCGAUACUUGGUGUGAAUUGCAGAAUCCCGUGAACCAUCGAGUUUUUGAACGCAAGUUGCGCCCGAAGCCUUCGGCCAGGGCACGUCUGCCUGGGCGUCACGCA